UUUAUUCAAAUUGUCUGGUCUUUUGGCUUUUAUAUAUAUUUCUUUAACUUUAGUUUUUCUGUGUCGAUUCCAUCCUGUGUAGACUGCAAACGCUGGUUACGAUAAGUAUUGGAUGCAUUUUUUAGUGUUGGAGCUGGUUUAGUUUGCUGUAGUAAGUCCGUUUACGUUAUAUGGGGUAUUAUUAACAACUCAUGAUUGCAGUACCUCGACGAGAACAAGAAAUUGAUAUUGGCUAUUCUGGAUAAUCAAAAUCUAGGCAAACUCGUUGAAUGUGCCCAAUUCUUUGAAUUGAGAAAGUGAGUGAUUGGACCUGUGAAGCCAUGGCUCUGUCAUAUGGUGAACUUGAUCUAAACAAGGCGGCUGACACUUUGCAGCUGUAUAUUUCUCAACCCCAACUGGACUCAGCUUCAGGAGGUAUUCUUCACUCUGCGGUCGCGAGCAGCUCAACAGUUAUAUAGUUGAAGGAUAAGAUACAAGAUUAUAGAGCUUAUAGAGAGGUGCUGGUUUUAGAAGGCAACGGAAGCCCUAGUUUUUUUUUUUUUUGAGUUGGGCUCAAAACAUUAUGUAUGAAUGUUUUGUGAUAUAUAUAAUAUAUGUUAUUGAUGGUUUUAUCA
This is a long non-coding RNA of Salvia miltiorrhiza (redroot sage), 614 nucleotides long. RefSeq lists it as uncharacterized. The record is from RefSeq and is a predicted model, not a curated record. Lineage: Eukaryota; Viridiplantae; Streptophyta; Magnoliopsida; Lamiales; Lamiaceae. The transcript is spliced from 4 exons.